This 6542-nucleotide long non-coding RNA is filed under the name Homo sapiens (human). RNAcentral's name for it is "HSALNT0297990". Lineage: Eukaryota; Metazoa; Chordata; Mammalia; Primates; Hominidae. The record is from RNAcentral.
CUAAAAGAAACUUUGGAAGAAUCAAACUCAGGCUUGUGACAGCUAAAACACACUUACCACGUCUUUUAAAUGUAAAAACAGAGAGUGAGAAGGAAGAGGAGGGAGGAAAGGACGGAGAACAUUUCUUCACAAUCACCGUGAUGGAGGAAUCACACAUCAUCAGGAAGCUCGAGAAUGAUGAGUAAAAUCUGAGACUUCUGGACAAUACAGGACACACACAAAUAAUGGAAAAGACACUCAAAUAAGGUGGAAACUAAGUAAACAAUUGAAACGUGGAGUCAGAUGCCACUGACAGCCUAAGAAAGCCAAGUAGCCCAGCUUCCCCAUGGGGUUGUCCUCGGCUUUGGUGAGGGGAAGAAGCAGGGUCUGUCCUGGACACUUGUUCCUGGGCUCAGGGCCCAAGUGUUUGAUGCACAGCUUCCCACUCUUUCAAUGGAGGUGCACCUAUUGUCUCCUCAGCCAAAGACUCAGGAUCAUGAAUAACUCAUAGUAAACUCACUGGGGGGUUGUAGGCAUGGAUUUUUUGUAAACACCAUAAAAGGUCCUUGAUCCAAAAGGCUCUGCACUCAGUGCAUUACAUGUACUUUCUAUUCUCCCCAGGCCCUACCCCACCCCUACAUCAGCCCAUUAUAAUUCUUAAAGAUUUUGUGCUCAAGCCAGGGGCCCGAGUGGGGGCAUUUACCCUCCAUAUAGUGCAAACAUACACAAAGAACAAUUGACCACCAUAUAACAUAACACUUUGUAGGGUUUUCAAGCUUACAAAUAUCAGACUAAUUUUUUUUUUUUUUUUUCUUUUUGAGAUGGAGUCUCGCUCCUUUGCCCAGGCUGGACUGCAGCGGCGCUAUCUUGGCUCACUGCAAGCCCCGCCUCCUGGGUUCAGGCCGUUCUCCUGCCUCAGCCUCCCAAGUAGCUGGGACUACAGGCGCCCGCCACUGCGCCUGGCUAAUUUUUUUUUUUGUAUUUUUAGUAGAGACGGGGUUUCACCAUGUUAGCCAGGAUGGUCUCGAUCUGCUGACCUUGUGAUCCACCCACCUCGGCCUCCCAAAGUGCUGGGAUUACAGGCAUGAGCCACCGCAUCCGGCCCAGACUAAUGUUUAUCUCUGACCCAAAGGGAAAAAAAUACUUCCCAAGCCAAGUAGACCUGACCUGAAAACACCACCAUCUGGCCAAGAAACAGAACUUUUGGGAUGAUUGGAUCCAAGAAAUUGUUGUGUGGAUUAUCCAGCCUUCUUCUCCCUGGCUGCCACUCUUAGGACUAAUCACUGAUAGGAGGAAAUGCUGCUAACACAUUGAUAUAGUUUGGAUAUUUUUUUCCCUGCCCAAAUUUCAUGUUGAAAUGUAAUUCCCAAUGUUGGAGGUGGGGGCCGAUAGGAGGUGUGUGGGUCACGGGGGUGGAUCCCUCAUGGAUUGGUGCUGUUCUUAUGAUAGUGAGUUCUCAUGAGAUCUGCUUGAUUAAAAGUGUGUGGUACCUCCCCCAACUCUCUCUAUUGCUCCUGCUUUUACCGUGUGACGUGCCUGCUCCACACUUCACCUUCUGCCCAAGCAAAAGCUUCCUGAGGCCUCCCCAGAAGCCAAGCAGAUGCUGGCACCAUGCUUGUAUGGCCUGCAGAACCAUGAGCUAAUUAAAACUCUUUUCUUUAUAAAUUAUCCAGUCUCAGGUAUUUCUUUAUAGCAACAUAAGGAGGGCCUGAUACACAAGUACACACGGGCACACACACACACACACACACACACACACACACACAGACACAUACAAAGACACACACACAGAGCAGCAGCAACAUUGCUGGCAGACACAACAGUCCAUGGGGAAAGCAAGCAAACUUCCAGCCAUGGGUGUGGGAGCAUGCAUGCACAUGUACAAGUGCAAACAGGGCCUGCUUCUGCAGAAGGAGACAUUAGUAGUCGAAGCUCAUGCAGUGACAAAGGGGCAGCUGCUUACGCUUUAGUCCCCUCUGUGACCCCUGUGCAUGCAAAGCAGUCACCGACAGUGGCAGAGAGGGAAGUAGGAAGCACAGAGUGGUCGGGGUGGGGGUGGGCUGCCCCUGCUCAUGGGCACAGAAUGCAGCUUUGCUAACAGAUUAGGUGGGGCUGGUGGAAAUGGAAAAGCUGCUUAAAAUGAUUACUUAUAGAGAGAAUCCAAGGAGUUUUGUUGCUUGUGACCACAGAUAAUCAGGGGCUGCCUCCAGCACCAGUCCAACAAGCUUAAGAUGAAAGGACCCCUGUUCAGGUUCUAACCUGAGAGAAAUGUCAGAGAAGAAUUAGGAAGUGCUUUAACACAAAGCCCAGGAUGAAAAAUCUGGCAGCUCUCCAACUGUCUCAACAUGCAGCAUAAUAGCGAAACAAAGCCACUCCGCGGCUACAUUCAUCCAGCCAUGAGGCAGAAGGACUGGGAAAACUGGAUUUGGCAUGCAAGCCCUUCCCUGGGUUUUCUUCUAGCCCAGCUCACAGUUUGAGGUUUGCAAAGGCAUCUGCCUCCCUGGGCAAGAAGUUUGUCUAUACAGAGCAGAUACCGGGUUCCUCUUUUCCAUAAAUAUUUCUGCAAAAUCCAUUCAUCUUCCUGAAAUCUCCAAUUAUGAGUACACUUUGACUUUAUUUCUCAGUGCACCUUUCUUUCCCUUAGCCCGAUUCUUUCCCCCAGAUCCCCACUUUCCUAGGGCAAAAGAAAGCGGCUUCCACUCACAGCAAAUUUUCUGAGUCCUCCCCACAGUGAAGUGAAAACCAAAGAGAGAACAUUAUCAGAGAAAAGCAGCACUAUUCAUACAUCCUUAACUUUACAUAAUAAUUUCAUAAUUGCUUUUUAUGAAAUCAAGUUUAAUCACAUUUCUGCUGCAAAAAUGCUUGAAAUCGUGACUUUACGAAAGGAGAGGUUGCCAGCGUACUGCAUGGCACGCUGCUAGCUAUGGAACCCCUCAUGGUGUACUUUUGUUUGUUAAGAUUUCCAAUAUUUUAAACUCCAUUUCCUAACUCUACAGGUGCUCUCCUCUUUUUCAUAUAUGAUCCUUCCGCCUACUGCCAUCUGCCAUAGGAUUUGUCCCAUAGCCUGGAGAAACCCUCCCCCUGCUUACAGUCUUUGGAACCCAGCCUCAUAUCUUGGUUCAUCCAGAUGGUUACAGAGAUCUUCUGACAGAGUUAGGAUGCAGUAUCACUUUACCAAUAGGGGGUGUCCAGUGUAUAAUGUGCUCCAUCCUGAGGAAUGCAGGGUUUUAGAUGCUAUAACACAAACAAAUGUCCUCCUUUAAAAAUUCAUACUUUGUCAACCAGAAGUUAUUUUCAUAUCUGGUUUAAGCAUUUGCAAGAAGUGUGCCAGGAAAUACAGCAGAAUACAGAAGCUGUCUGCAAAUAGAUCUCCAAGUGAUAAGGCACAAUCUUCAGUAUGCUGCCUGUUGCAAGAGGUUUUUUAAAAAUUAAAUCUCUCAUGGAAAAUACACUGGCCUUUGCUACUAUAGGCAGCUCAGGGACAGUCAGAUGGAUGUAAAAGCCUGGGAAGUGAAAAGUUUGAGGAGCCACUGGGACUCUAUAACAUUGCCUGGUACUGGGAAUUAGGAUGGAAGGGAUAGUGAACUCACUGGUGGCCCCCUGGGAAUAUUGCUUCCCAGUCCAUGCUGAUCCACUUGUUCUUGGGGUCCCUAGACACUUCUAGAAAAGGCUAAUCCUGAAGGUUGGCCUACCCUGAAAGUCUGAGACGAUUCCCUUCUGGUGUCUUCAAGCAGCCUUCUCUUAGGUAAAACAAGGUCAGGAAGGAGCUAGAAACAAAUUUGGGGGAGAGGGAAGCUGGAUAGUGAUUUCUCUCAGAAGGCUCUCUUCCUAGGUUCUUACUGAUUAGCAAUUCAGAUUCACUGUUCUCAUAUCAGCCCAUCCUGGCAAAGGCACCUUCCUGAUUGAGUAUCAGCCAUUUAAUCAAUCAUCUUGCUUUUGUGCUGCACCUCUUCCAAUUGGUGACUCUAUUUCUCUGAUCCUAGGAGUGCAGUCCUGGCCAAUGGGCCCUUUGUAGCCCUGGGGGAGGCUGUCAUCCCAGUGAUGAAUCUGGGGGCUUCAGCAUGCCCUGUCUAUCUCAUGUGUAAUUCCAUUAAAGCAGCAGGCCAUUGGCUACCACCUAUGGGCAUCUGGGCCCUAUGGAGCCACCAUAGGACUUGACGAAUGAUGGCAUUUGAAUCAACCAUCUCUGUGCCCUGUCCAUAAUAAGGGACAUAGGAGUACACAGAAGGGACUGGGUUUCUCUUCUAGUCAGGUAAAUUCCUACCCCUCUAUCAAGAUCCAGCUCAAGAGUUACUUCCUCAAAGAGUUUCCUAACUAUUCCUAUGGCCAGAAAAGGCCUUAGAUUCAUGGUUAUCAUAUUCCCACUCUUCCUUUAAGGCUUCUUCCCAGCCCAGCUUUGGCCAUAUUCUAAGCCACUCCCUGACUCUUCAGGUUGUGCCCAGGUGCAAAUCUCCAGUCAAGCUGGCCACUCAACUGAGAGCUGAAGGUCAUUCUUCUGGCCUCUCAUGAUGAACAGAAGCAAACUACAGCUCUGAAUAUUCCUGUCACAGACCAUCACCAGACUUUUAUGCUACCUCAGUGGUACCAUAGCAGAGCCACAUGCCAAAUAGCCACUUGUCAGGAGGAUCAUUCUGCUCCAUUGUUUAAUUAUGCAAACUCAUUUGCAUCUCCUUCCUCUGUCUCUGAACAAACAGCAAUCAUGCAAAUACCAUCAGCUAUCAAGCCCUGUGGGGGCUCCAUAAAGCCUGGAUACCCUUAGGCAGUGGCCAGAGGCCUGCUGCUCUAAUGGAAUUACUGAAGAGCUACACAGGGCAUGCUGCAGUCUCCAAAACCAAUCCUGGGCUGACAGCCUCCUCCAGCGGAUACUGAGGACCCAUCAGCUAGGGAAGCUCUACUAGGACAGAGAAAUGAGGUCACUAUUUGGAAGAGGUGCAGCACAAAAGCAAGAGCAUGGUCUUGAGACUCAAGAAGACCACACUCCCCACAGCUUCUUGCCCAUGCUCCUCACCUGAGAGGGGCCCUACCUGCUCUAGUCACAAGUCCACAGAUGGUACCUUUUUGAGAGUUUAGAGACAUUGUUUGGUGACCUGGAAGUGGAGGUCAAAGCAGGCAUUUUAGUUUCAGCCCAGAGAUUGGAGUGCUUGCUCUGGACAGGACAAAGGCCCCCAAAGGCAGAACUGAGUGGCAAGUGUGGAGAGUGCACCAGCAGUAGGUGCUGGAAUUAGACUCUCUCUCAUCGCAGGACAGGAAAGGAGAGUAGCUGAAGCCAAGGUUUCUCCCAGGCAGCAAGACUUGCAGCCAGAGACAGCUUUUUGACCUGGAACCAGUCUGUGUAUGCCACUACUGGAUGCCCCAGCCUGCUCCCUUGGUCAGCUGGGGGACAGUGGCCUACCAGCUGAGGAGCAAGAGAGAGGUGGAACCCCCUCCCCUGGAGAUCUAACCUCAAGCACAGUCUACCCUUAAAGAAGGGAGAAUCACAGCCCAUCAAAGUCCCCACUGAGUCAAAGAAAAUGUGAGUGUGGUGCCAGCUGCUAAAGGGAGCACCACCAAAGCCUGGAAAUGGACCUGGAGAGGGGAUAAUAUAUCACCUUCCACCAACCUCCUCAGUGCACUAUUGUGGACUCAUCAGUGGCUCUUUCUGUUGGGGCUCAGGGAGCAUGGGCUGAAAGAAACCACUUCUCAGACUUCUCCAGUGAAUCCAUCCCCAGUGAAGGCAAACGCACACUGGGAGGUGUUGCUUUUCAUGCUUCUCCCUUGCCUCUGUCCCUGCCGCUAACUGCCGGCUCUUACUCUUAAGCCACUUACUGGACUGCAGCCUGAAUUACAUCACCAAACAAAAAUUACGUUGCUACAAUAAGCAAUGUGUGAGAAGCCAUAGCACAAAACUAUGUGCAAACAUGGAACUCAUACAGAGCCUUGGUGCCCUGAAAGCUCCCAGAAAUGAAGCAGUUGCUUAUGCACAAUAUAUACCACAGUCAUACCCCAAGGGGAAAAAAGAAUUAAAAAAUCAAGAAGCCCUAUCCAAACCUAUCCAAAUGAUAGACACACACACACACACACACAUAUUUUAUAUAUAUAUAUAAAGAAGUGCUGGCUCUCUCAGGUGAGAGGGAACCAGUGCAAGAAGCACUGCAAUAAAAAAUCCAGAGUGUUAUGUUACCUCCAAGAGACCCCACUAGCUCCCAAGCAAUGGAUCUGAGCCAGAAUGAAAUGUCUGGAAUGACAAACAUAGAAUUCAGAAUAUGGAUGGCAAACACCAAUACCCAAAAACAUCACAAGCAAGUUGAAUUCCAAUACAAAGAAGCCAGGAAAACAAUCCAAGAUUUGAAAAACAAUAUGGCUAUAUUAAGAAAAAAUGAAAGCAAGACUCUGGAAUUGAAAAAUUCACGGCAGGAAUUUCAAAAUAUAGUAGGAAGCCUUAACAACAGACUAGACCAAGCAGAAGAAAGUAUUUCAGAACUCUAAGAUAGGUCCUUUGAAUUAACCCAAAUUUGUUUGUUUGAAUCAACAAAAAUAAAGAAAAAAGAAUUUUAAAAAAUGAACUAAGCCUUCAAGAAAUACGG